Molecule: small RNA, 148 nt
Filed under: Arabidopsis thaliana (thale cress)
Lineage: Eukaryota; Viridiplantae; Streptophyta; Magnoliopsida; Brassicales; Brassicaceae
Description: ATSL195220
Source: RNAcentral
ACCUUCGGAGUGGCCUACUUUUGUUGCUGAGAUGGCGACUUUUGGUUCUUUUGUCUGUUUUUUCCCUUCUUUUAGUAUUAAGUUCUUUUCUCGUAUUUACAAUGUGCGGGCCGAUUGUCUUGCAAAAAAAGCACGAGCCCGUAAUAGU